GUCGGGACCUGCCCAGUGAAUAUAUUUUUAACGGCCGCGGUACUCUGACCGUGCAAAGGUAGCAUAAUCAUUUGCCUUAUAAUUGAAGGCUAGUAUGAAUGGUUUGACGUGAACAAAGCUGUCUCUACAUAAUUUUUUAGAACUUGAUCUCUAGGUGAAGAAUCCUAGAUGAUAUUGAAAGACAAGAAGACCCUAUUGAGCUUUAAAAAAAUGAAUUGAAGAAAUAUAUAAUUUUAAAUAUUAAUCUAUUUUAGAUUUUGGUUGGGGCGACUAUAGAACAAACAAAGCUUCUUUAUAUUAACAAGACUAGCAGGUGUUGAUCCAAAAAUUUUGAUUAAUGGAAUUAGUUACCAUAGGGAUAACAGCAUAAUUCUCUUUGAGAGCUCUUAUCGAAAAGAGGGUUUGUGACCUCGAUGUUGGAUUAGAAUAUCCUAAAGAUGCAGCAGUCUUUAAGGGUUGGUC
RNAcentral lists this ribosomal RNA (462 nucleotides) under Purpuradusta fimbriata unifasciata. RNAcentral's name for it is "partial 16S large subunit ribosomal RNA". It matches the Rfam family "Bacterial large subunit ribosomal RNA", at positions 1851 to 2577 of the family's 2925-position model. The record is from RNAcentral. Lineage: Eukaryota; Metazoa; Mollusca; Gastropoda; Littorinimorpha; Cypraeidae.